UACGUAGGGUGCAAGCGUUGUCCGGAAUUAUUGGGCGUAAAGAGCUCGUAGGCGGUUUGUCGCGUCUGCUGUGAAAACUCACAGCUCAAUUGUGGGCGUGCGGGCGAUACGGGCAGACUGGAGUACUGCAGGGGAGACUGGAAUUCCUGGUGUAGCGGUGGAAUGCGCAGAUAUCUGGAGGAACACCGGUGGCGAAGGCGGCAUCCUGGACCAACACUGACGCUGAGGAGCGAAAGCCAGGGGAGCAAACGGG
This 253-nucleotide ribosomal RNA is filed under the name uncultured bacterium. RNAcentral describes it as "partial 16S ribosomal RNA". It matches the Rfam family "Bacterial small subunit ribosomal RNA", at positions 524 to 776 of the family's 1533-position model. The record is from RNAcentral.